RNAcentral lists this long non-coding RNA (279 nucleotides) under Physcomitrium patens. RNAcentral's name for it is "long non-coding RNA (PPAT_LNC012168)". Lineage: Eukaryota; Viridiplantae; Streptophyta; Bryopsida; Funariales; Funariaceae. The record is from RNAcentral.
ACUCGCCCUUGUACCACACUCGAUCCAUCCUCCAAGUUGUAGUUUGCAAUAUAUUCCUCCAUUAAUGACACAUUAAUUGAUGGUAAGCAAUCUGACAGGUGUAAAAACUGCAACAAUUCUGCAUUUCAAAAGUCUUUUAUUCUUUUCGGCAUCCAGCAAAUCUCUAACUUCAUCAACUCUAUAUUGGUAAUGAUUAUCAAAGAAGGUAGUUUUGAUGCACGUCUAGCUUUCACAUUUUAUCCACUGUCCUCUUUGUCUACAACUUGCUUUGUACUUUCA